UACGGGGGGGGCAAGCGUUGUUCGGAAUUACUGGGCGUAAAGGGCUCGUAGGCGGCCAACUAAGUCGGACGUGAAAUCCCUCGGCUUAACCGGGGAACUGCAUCCGAUACUGGAAGGCUCGAGUUUGGGAGAGGGAUGCGGAAUUCCAGGUGUAGCGGUGAAAUGCGUAGAUAUCUGGAGGAACACCGGUGGCGAAGGCGGCAUCCUGGACCAACACUGACGCUGAGGAGCGAAAGCCAGGGGAGCAAACGGG
Molecule: ribosomal RNA, 253 nt
Filed under: uncultured bacterium
Lineage: Bacteria
Description: partial 16S ribosomal RNA
Rfam family: Bacterial small subunit ribosomal RNA
Source: RNAcentral